UCUGGUGGCGAGUGGCGAACGGGUGAGUAAUGUAUCGGAACGUGCCUAGUAGCGGGGGAUAACUACGCGAAAGCGUAGCUAAUACCGCAUACGCCCUACGGGGGAAAGCAGGGGAUCGCAAGACCUUGCACUAUUAGAGCGGCCGAUAUCGGAUUAGCUAGUUGGUGGGGUAACGGCUCACCAAGGCGACGAUCCGUAGCUGGUUUGAGAGGACGACCAGCCACACUGGGACUGAGACACGGCCCAGACUCCUACGGGAGGCAGCAGUGGGGAAUUUUGGACAAUGGGGGAAACCCUGAUCCAGCCAUCCCGCGUGUGCGAUGAAGGCCUUCGGGUUGUAAAGCACUUUUGGCAGGAAAGAAACGUCAUGGGCUAAUACCCCGUGAAACUGACGGUACCUGCAGAAUAAGCACCGGCUAACUACGUGCCAGCAGCCGCGGUAAUACGUAGGGUGCAAGCGUUAAUCGGAAUUACUGGGCGUAAAGCGUGCGCAGGCGGUUCGGAAAGAAAGAUGUGAAAUCCCAGAGCUUAACUUUGGA
Molecule: ribosomal RNA, 539 nt
Filed under: uncultured Achromobacter sp.
Lineage: Bacteria; Pseudomonadati; Pseudomonadota; Betaproteobacteria; Burkholderiales; Alcaligenaceae
Description: bacterial SSU rRNA
Rfam family: Bacterial small subunit ribosomal RNA
Source: RNAcentral